RNAcentral lists this ribosomal RNA (253 nucleotides) under uncultured bacterium. RNAcentral's name for it is "partial 16S ribosomal RNA". It matches the Rfam family "Bacterial small subunit ribosomal RNA", at positions 524 to 776 of the family's 1533-position model. The record is from RNAcentral.
UACGUAGGGACCGAGCGUUGUCCGGAAUCAUUGGGCGUAAAGAGCGUGUAGGCGGCUCGCUAAGUCUUGCGUGAAAUCUCGGGGCUCAACCCCGAGCGGUCGUGAGAAACUGGCGGGCUAGAGUGCGGGAGAGGAGAGUGGAAUUCCUGGUGUAGCGGUGAGAUGCGCAGAUAUCAGGAAGAACACCCGUGGCGAAGGCGGCUCUCUGGAACGCAACUGACGCUGAGACGCGAAAGCGUGGGGAGCAAACAGG